Molecule: long non-coding RNA, 11839 nt
Organism: Corvus hawaiiensis (hawaiian crow)
Lineage: Eukaryota; Metazoa; Chordata; Aves; Passeriformes; Corvidae
Exons: 12
Source: RefSeq, a predicted model, not a curated record
AGAGGCGCCGCGGAGCCCUCCCCUCCCUUCCCCUCCCUUCCCCUCCCCUCCCCUUUCCCGUAUCGCCCAGCCGGGGUGGCUGAGCACGGUGGGCUGCUCCGCGGCCUGCAAACAGUCGCUGUCCUCCCACAGUCCCAGGGUGAUUAGGGCUGGAAGGGACCUCUGGAGAGCAUCCAGUCUAAUCCUGCUGUUACAGCAGGUCGUCUUAGAGCACGUUGCACAGAAUAGUGGGAUAAAGAGACUCCUUCAGAAGUGGUCAGGCCAGCUCUUGUCGAUGCUCUAGCUGGGAAAACCUGUCAGUGGUCGGUGUGCUCUGUUCUGUCUCGGAGCAGAAGACUCAUAUUUUCACUGUCUUUCAUAGUCUCUGCAUGCUUGCUAUCCUAUCUAUGAUGUAAUUUCCCCCAUAGUGUUUCUGUAUCUAUGUCUUUCUACCCAUAUAUCUAUCUAUAUAUCGGAUAUACAGAUAUAUUCUACAGGACAUAUCUAUAUCCUUGGGAAUAGGGAAUUUCUGAAAUUCCCCCAUAUGCUGUGGUCUGAAAAGACUAUCCCAUUGGAUUCACAGUUUAAAAACUGCCCCUGGUGAUGCUAAUGGAUGUAUUUGACGCUUUGCAAAAUAGCUACAGACUGCUGGAUUCUUUUUGCUGGUCUAAAGUUUGUCAAACAACUGUUCUUUGUGAUUUUUUUUUAAAACUCUAUGUGAUUGUCUCUUUGCUAUGUUAUGUUUUUUAAAUGCAGCCAGAUGGCAGUGAAACCUUUACUACACAUUGCAGUUCAGUUGUGAAAGGUAUUUUUAAGAAUGUCCCAGUUUGGGCUUUCUUUUAUUCCUGUUCAGUAUUUUCAGUCUAAAUGGUAUGCACUGUUUGAAAGAGAAUACAUAUUGUAAAACAGACCCUGUGAAAAAACUACUUAAAAUAUUUUAUGGCUUCUGAUGUAGGCUAUCCAAAAAUCGAAGUUCAUAGGAAUUGAAGUUGUAUCCAACUGAUACCUAAUUGUAAAUGUUUACUUAUACAAGUAGGGCUUUAUAGAGUUUACAACUGCAUCCUGCAUUAUAGUGUAGAAAAGGACCAAUUUUAUGAAUGGCCAGGCUUGGUGAGGCAGGCUGGGUUCUAAACUGUGCUUAAGGUAGCCUGAAAGCCCAUGAACAAUAGAGAGGAGGACUCAUCCAAAAAUAUUAAGGAGAAAGGUCUUAGCUGAAUGACACUUGUUUUUUUUCCAGGUCUUUACAACAGGAAAAACCUCCCCAACCUUGUGCUGGAAGACUGGGCAAGUUUACCUUGGUUCCGGGAAUGUGUAGCUUACUGUAUAGAUAGUCAGCCUUCCUGCAUUCUUGAUCGCUGAUUAGUGCUGCUCUCCAUCGGGCAUUUCCUCCUGACUUUGAAAAACAAUACUGAGAUAAACUGAAAUCAUCCGCCUUUUUUCCUGGUCUGAGAGCAGGAGUGGAGGCUGCUUUGUUGUGGGGUAAUAGCCACAAAAUUCUCCCUACUGAAAAGUUUUGGUGUUAAAAUGAGGAUUUUUAUUAGCAGAAAACCGUGGCUUUAGAAGAGAGAUUUCCCACCCCAUUCUCACUUAGAACAGCUGUCUCUUUCACAGUGAUUAAGAGUCAAGGUCAGUGUGAGAUGUUCCCCUCAGCAAUGCUGGCCACACGGUCUCGAUGGGCUACACCAGCUGCCAAGGGGCUGUGUCCUAGGUACCAGCAUGAACAGAUGUUUAAACAGUGGCCUGACUUCUGCUGAAGCACACUUGCAAAACCUUGACUUUCCUCAGCUGUAACUUGAGGGGUGAGUCACUCAUUUAGCAAAGAGCUGCAGCACCUGAAGGUUAUUACCCUGCUGCCAGGAGUUGCAGAGGUAGCAAGGGAGAGAGAGCAGGAUCUUGGAGUGAUCCACACUCACUUCGUUAAAGUGCAAUGACAGCCAAACCACCAGAGGCAGAAGGUUGAGGAAGACCCCUGAACUUCAAGAUGGAAGUGCUGCAGGUUACUCAAAUUCUGUGUUCCCUGCUUUGCUGAUAGGUCAGGGACCUCUGCCUGAGGGGAGUGACAAAGAGCUAAGGGGAGUUAAAUGAGUCAGUAGUAGCUAAAACUCUGUAGCUGUUUGCCCCAGAUGUACAACUGCAGUGCUAAUUCCUGUUACCUGGUGACGUCUCUUGCUUGUAAACUCCCAAUCAGUUGCUGAAACUGCUUUUGCUGAAAAGAUCUUGAAAUACCGCAUGGACUGAGAGAAAAAAAUGAGAAAUGUCUAGGUUUUCUGUAUUGCCUAGUCAGGAAAGCUUUUGUUAGGACUUCUCGAAGAUGUAAUGAAAAUUGCAGAGGUUUAAGACUGAGGAAAUUUCCUAUGCUGGUGGCUGGAGCUUUGUACGUUGUAUUAUGAAGAUUGAGUGGAAACUCCUUUGAGUGUGAAGUAGGAUAACAACACGCUCUUUGCAGUGUAGUUGCAGUUGUUUCUCCUCACAAUGCAGUGCCUUUUUGGUUAGGUAGCUUUUCUACUUGCCCUGUUGGGUAGCUAAUUUAAAAAUGAAAUAAAGAAAUGAUCCCCUCAAAAAGAAUCUUUGUUGGGGACUGAAAAAUUUAGCGAAAGGCACAUCGGAAGAAUGCUGUUCUGGACAGCACAAUCUGGACUGUGCUUUAGGGAUAUGUAAUCAAGAUGGGCAACUUGUCAGUGGUUGUAAAAAGAUUGAAGGAAAGUGAAGUCUCUGAAUUAUGAUGAAAUGCCUUCUGUGAUACCUCUUGGAGCUCCACUAACAUUGGGAAGGAAAGGUAAGAUUCACUGAUGGGAGGAACAAUAGUGGAUCAUUUUAACAGGCCCUUAGGCACAAGUUUAGCUGUGCAGGAUGCCUAGGCUUUUGAAGAAAAUUCAAACUAUUCUUUGUUCUUGCUUCAUAGCAGUGGUAUUUUCACACUUUAAUGUCCCUGGUCACCUUACCUGUGCUUGCUUUUGUCGUGGCUGAUCAAACCCAGGCUAAAUUAUAUAAACUUAUGGUAGUGUGAUAUAAGCGAAAAAUGUGCUAGACAGCAUUAGAGCUGUAUUUUUUCCUUGAGAUUUCAAGCAUGUAAUUAGAGUUUAGUUACUAACUUGAUGAUUAAAAUUCAGCAGUUGUUUUACGGAUAACUUAUGUCAAGAAGUGUCUCUUACAGAGUGGAAAAGGAGGGAGGUGGACUAACAAAUUUUGCAAUCUAAGUUGCAAUUUAAGAUAGUCUGUAAUUAGUAUGCUCUCCAAAUUGGUCCACACAAAUUCAGAAAUCAUGGUGAGGUACAGGAAAUAGAAGAUGCUAGGAAAAUACUUAGUCUAAAUUACUUGUGAAUUUGUGGAAGUAACACCUUCAGGUAGCUAAGUGCUGUUGCAUCCUGAGUUUAUCCUAUUACACUGUUGUGUGGAUACAACUUCUAAUUAAUCACUGUCGUGCAAGCAAGACAUUUGAUAGAAAUGUGUAUGUUCGUACUUAGUUUUUGAUGACUUUAUUUAGAAAGGUACCUCUUGGGAUUUAUUGUUGCAGUGCCCACAGCAGUGUGUUUGUGAGAGAGCAGUGUGAAUAGUACUGAAAGUGCCGUUGCUGGUUCACUUUGUGCUCAUUCUCUUUUUGGAUCUGCUUAGGUCCUCCAGAGCAGUUUGGGUCAAUGUUCCCUAUAGAUUGAGAGUUACAAUACUUGGGAAUAUUUAGGAAACAAUCUCCAGUCAUGUAUAUAAUUAAAGGGCUUAAUAGAGGUGUAUAAUUCCUCCAGGUCCUUGUGUAGAUUGUGAUAAGAAACAUGCAGAAGCCUAAGUGGAGCCUCCCUAAAAGCUCUGUUUCUUGGCAUUGGCUGGGUGCCAUUCAGAUUAUAUCUGUGUGCUGUGUGAGGUGGAAAGGAUGGUGACCAUUACAAUUCUACAAGGAACUGGAAGGACCUGGCAGCAGAUAACAAGCUCUGGUAUCACUGCUGACAUCACUGUGAAGGAUGAGAAUAAUCUCCUUAUUUUGCAGGUGCAGAAUGUGAGCUUUGGUUUGCUCAGAGUUGUGCAGGAAGUCUGGUAUAAGGAGGAAACUUCUGUGUAAUGCAGUUAGAUUGUAAAAUGAUCCUUCAGUCUGGUUGUAAAUGUGUAAGAAGCAAAGGAAGAACAUUAUGAGAAAAUAUCAAUAUUUAAUAUCCUGCCUUUAAUAGAUGGAGAAAAUAAAGCAUGGAUUACUGGGCUACAUUACCAUGUUCUGCUGAAUUGCUGCUGUUGAACUCAGAAAAAAUGUGAACAUCAAAUAUUUGUCAUUUUUUGAGAUGAGAGUGCUAGAUCCACCACAAGUUAAAUUCUAAUAAUUCAAGCAAGAUGAGGCCUGCUUUAAAAUACACAUUUAGUGAAAUUCAGGGCUCCUUGGCCUUCAUGAGGCUUAGAUGUCAGUUGAUCUCUGCAAAGGAGUUGCAAGACUACAGAAAAUAAAUUAGCCAUGUUCUGUGAUGGUCUUUAAUUUAAAUAAUGCUUACACAUAGGAUAUAGCUUUACCCAUUAAAAAGAGAAGCUGCUUUUCUUGACAGCUAAAAUUAUAAAGCACCAUAAUGUUGCAGAGUAGAAAAUAGAAAAAUUACAUAACUUAAUGGAUUGCCUUUAUUUUAAGUUAGUGUAUAAUUAAUAUUAUUUAGAAAGUCAAAAAAGAGAGAAAUCUUUUAUAUAAAUCAAAAAUAAGGCAUUCAACUCAGAUGAGGUUUUUUUUCUAAUCACAUAAAUCACUGUGCAUUUUGUCCCAAUGUAUAAUGUCAGAUUGUAUUAGCCCUAACAUUCACAGAAAACAUUGUCAGAAUAUUUAGUAUUUUACUAAUUUUUUUGUGAAAUUUACUUAACACAUUUAAUUAUUUCAAUCACAAGUUCCAUUGUAUGUCAGAGCUUGAAAAUGCAUUAUGAAGUCUUUCAAUAGAGUCCAUAUUUUUAUAUAUCUAAUUUUUUUGUUUGUCACUAAAUUAGAAGUGUUUGAAUUAAUUUAAAUUUGCAGAGCAAUUUAGGUAAAAGCAUCUUAAUUUGGCAAUAUUACAAUCAAAAAGCAUUGCAUGUAUUCUACUUGUAUUCUAUCAGUUUAUCACUUAUACCUGAUGGAUGCUGUAAAGGUUUUUGUCUCACAAGUUGGUGCAUUUCAUUUUAAUCCUACUGUGUGCCCAUUAGCAACUAUGAUAGUGCAAUUUGAAAUAAUUCUUUAUCAAUUUAAUGAUUUUUGUAUUAUACCAGUUAAUUCUGGCUUUCUACGAUAAAUAUCAAAAACUUUUUCAAUACCUUAUAAAAUCAGAAGAAUUUCUUCUUUGUGUGCUCAAAAUGUUUGCUGUCUCUUUUGACAUACAGGUAGAUUUUCCUUCUUUUGCCUGUACUGGAGUGUAACACCAGCAGGAACCAUGUACAAUUUUUGUCUAAUUCUUUGCUGUGUUGCUUUGGAUUUUUGAAAAAUUUUCUGUCAAUUAUUAAAGUUUUAGAUUUGUAUUAAAUGAGUGUGUCUUUGAUAAACCAUUGCCAUUAAAAAUGUAGCUGUUGGAAUCAAGCAAGGCAUAUUCUAGGCACUGAUGUUUUUCUAAGAAUAGAAAGUCAGUACAUUUUUGUGGUUGCCUCUGACCAUUAAGACUGGAGGAAGGUUCUUGGAGAGAAUUUCUAGCCAAGCCAUGUACAGGUAAUCAGACACUGCUCCUUUUCUUGCCACAGGGAGGCUUCUGUUUAGGCAGAGGGAAAAAUAAAAUUAUGAUUUUGAAGGCAGGAGUAGCCCAGGCUUCUCACUAAAUACUAAGUAGAAACAUCACUGUUCAUAUACAACUCUGAUAUAAUUAGACUACGGGAUUGUUUUAAUAUCAUAAGGCCUUAAUUUGCAAAUCCUUGCUCACCUGAUUGUACUGGACAUGAACUGCUUGUGAUUGUAGCCUUAAACUGGUAAAGAAUAUUUUUGGGGUCGUAAAACACACACAUAAUAUGAUUUUUUAAAAAGGAUAAAAAUAGAACACAUGCAUAGUUUUGCAGUCCAUCAGCCUAUUUUCUGAUCUGAAAUUACUGUGAGAUGAGAGUUUUAAAAGAUGGGUCAAUUUAUGGUAAGCAUUACAAGCUCACCAAUUUUUUUGAGACUGAAUUAAUGGAACUGUAGAGGUUUAUCUAUGCAUCACAAGUGCAAGCUAAUUUAUUGAAGCUGUGUAUAAAAAACGUUUCUGUAAAAAAAAAUCAAUUCUGGAAAGGGCCUUUUUUUUGGGUAAUUUUUUGUUGGCCUCUUUUCCUUUAUACAAUUGCUUCAUCACCAGGAAAGAUUCAUAUUCAGUGCAGUCCCAGAGAACCACCAGUCCAGAUGCAAGUCCUUCAAAAGGUACUUAAAAGAUUACUUUUGUGCUCAAUGAAUUAAUGAAUCAAUGAAUUAACACAAGGGUUUCUGUAGCUCCAGUUCAGAAUCCCAUUACACAUUAUUCUUAGAGUUAGAAUCAAAAAUCUUGCAACUCACAGGACAAUGAGGUUGGCUGCUCUCGAAUGCUCUUGUAAGAGUUCAUUCAGACGGACUUGGCGAUAACUCUGGUUAAAACACAAUAGGGAAAAGAAAAAAAUCAGUCAGGUCAGUGAUCCUCAGUUCUGGUGUCUUACAUACCUCUGCACUCCCCUUGUCUGCAACAUUUUCUGCUGUUGAUUUGGCAGCACUGGAAGCCAGGUCGGCUCUGGGGUCCAGAGUGAUAGCAAUGACAAAAUAUGAUGCUAAGCCACACUUUUUGAUUAGUAUAGUUACAUUAGGGCCAGAGUUGUUCGCCCCUGUGUAAGGUUUCCUGGGGAUAGGGAUUAUUUUUGUACUGUACUUUAUGGUCAAGCUCAGGCCCUCAAAAUUUUUAUAACUUAACAAGUCACAGGGAACAAGAGACCAGGGCAGGUUUGUGUAAGAUAGAUGUAUCUUAACCGAUCUUGUAAAUUACUUUCUCUUUCCCUGGAGAAAGAAGAAAGCUGGUUUUUCUCCAUUCAGACCUUAAAUUUUCCUUCUAUACGGAAAUGUCAGUGUUCUUUUACAUGUUAUAUAGGUAAGAAUCCUCAUAAUGUAGCCAGUUGUUACCUCAUGAGAAUCAUCCUAUAACAUCACCCUUUAUCUGUGCUGCCAGGUUUUUCUCUGUUGAAUUGUAAAUGUGUUCUAAUGUCCUCUGUAAAAUUCCCAGAACUGCCUUACUUCUGAUGAUAAGGGUCAUAUCUUUCCGGAUGUAUAAGCUAAACUUUUUAUUGCUGUUCUUGUUUUACAGAGUAAUUUGGCAUUUUCAUAUUGCUGACUCUUUUCAAUCUAUGGGGAGUUUUUUUGGUUCCUUAGUUAGUGACCUUGACAAGACCAAGCUUAAUCAUGUAUUUUCUUUCUGUUGUAUCCUCACUGGUUCUGCAUGCAAGUGUCUGUGAUUACAUUCCUGUUUUCUUUUAUACUGAGAUGUUUUAAGGGCUCUGACUCUCAAUUUUUGAUAAUUUAAGGUGAGAAUAAUUCUAAGGUUUUCUGCCCAUAGCUGACUACUUAUAACCUUACACUGGUUAUCAGCUCCAUGAAGAGGGUAAUAGAGUGAGCAGUCAGUCUGCUUCCCAGCUGCUGCAGUUAGUAGUAUAGUGUGUUAUCUUAAAUCAUCAUUGAUUCCUGCUGAUGUUAAUGUGUCAGGCUGUGACUUCUGGCAGCUCUGAGCUCAGAGUUGCAAUCCUUGCUCUGCUGAGAAAGUUACCAGCACCAUAAAAUGGAGAUAACUAAACUGCCAACGUACUCAAGUUAAUUCCACAGGAACUAAAAUUGCUAGAUUAAUUCUCUGGGAGUUACAGGAGAACUUGUCUCUUAAGGGUGAAAGAGUUUGCAGUAUCCUUUUGUCACUGUCCUGAUGAAGCCUGGUGGUUCAUUGGUAAAAAGGUAUUUUUCCAACAAGUUUAAAGAGCAGACUGGGCUGUAAUUGAUCCAGUGGAUCAGCCAGCAUCAGCCUUGAAGUUCCUCUGAACUGCAGGAGACCUUCUGCAUGGUAGACUGGUUUAGUCUUCACUCUGCCACUGAGGUAAGAAUUCAUGCUCACCCUUGCCUUUGGAGAACUUUCUAGCCUUAGUUGAAGUGUCUGGAUUCAGUUCUAAAUGGCCCAAAGUGGUGAGUGUUUGGAGCUGCAUCCUUUAAGAGAUUCAAGCUGCAAAACAGUGGAGCCAUUUAAUAAACCUCUCAGCAGACCCAAUUAGCUCAGGCUUAGUGCAGUAACUGUGUGGUGUCUGGUUCAGAGGUGGUUUUCAUCUGGCUGGCUUUGAUGUGGGCAAAGCUUCUCAUCAGCCUGGAAAAUGCUGUGUAAACAUGCCAAGGUCUGAGGGAGCUCAAUAAUGCAAUCAUAACACACCUCUGCAGUGUUUACAGUAUAAAUCCAAUCUGUAAAUAUCAAAUACAGGUUUGAACAUUCAUGUUUCUAAUUCCAUAUCUGGUAUUUCAAAUUUUCUUACUAAUUGCUUCAAACAUCUGGAGGGUAAGGAAAAGUACAUAUGUAAAAAGGUAGAUGAGGCUUUACCUUCUCCUUGAAUGCUUCCAGCUCUGCAUCUGUAAUUUUCCAUGGAGUCUCUCGCUUUAAUUUCUCAGCAGUUGUUAUAUCUUUGCAGCUUUCAUGGAGGCGAUACGGUUCAAUCAUCUCUUCAAAGAAUUUCCAGCUGAAACACGAAUUACAAAGGAGGCCUUGCUGCAGGAAGUGAGAAGAAAAACGUGAAGUUGCAGUGUUGAUCUCAACAUCGUUAGUGGCCAAAAUGGGGAAAUUUCAUCUAAAUAAUGCAACGGCCUGAGCUGAGGCUUGAGUCAAGUAUUCUGCCUAUGCAUAAAGUCCAAGAACCAUAGAAUUUAAGAAGAUUUGAGAGUCAUCUCCCAGAAAAGGGAGUUCUCUGCUGGGCUUUCUUGUGGUAUUGAGAUCUCCUGAGAUAUUGGCUCCUGCAAGAAUGCCAGUGGCAGCUGGGAAAAAAAUGGCAAACACCGAAAAAAAUCCUUCUCCACUUCUGAAAUCUGGUCCAAAGUUUUCUGCAAAUAUUGAUGCUGCAAAUAUAGUGUUGGUAGGAAUGACUGUCCCAAUAAAGAAGUUUGCAAUGGCAACAAGGAGAACAAUCAGAAGAAUAACUUGAGCCUAUUAAUAGAAACAAGAAGAUUCUCCUGUUGUUUUUAACUUGGUUGCUGUGGAGAUGGCUAUACAGUUUACCUUUGCUUCCCAUUCCAUGCCAGCAACAGAGAUGCCAAGAAGACACACCACAGUUAUGGUCCCUAUGAUUCUGAUGUCAUUGGACUCAUCUACCAUCAGUGUAUCACUCUCCUGAAAGUGAAUGGUUUAGUCUUCAUCUCUCCUGGGGCUAAAGAUGAUGAGCUCAUCAAAUCUCCAUAACAAGUGUGGAGAAUAGCCAAGAGGAAGAAAGGGUACAGAGCAGAAAACAGACUGCAGCUACCAAAGGAAAUAUGCCUCUUAAAGUUGCAAGGAAGUGUUUCAUCUUCAGGCAUGAAGGAGCAAAACCAAAUCUUCUCUCAUUGAGACAGGAGAUUCAUGUCCUUCUCUGUACAAUCAAGUAUUUUAUGUUCCAAAUGACACUUCAGGUCUGCUGUUCACUGUCUGCCUCUGCCUAGUAUAUGGGGCAAAAGGAAUAACAUGUAUUUUUCAGAAUACAUGAAAAAGAAAACAACUGCUGCAACUGAUCUCCUUGUCUCAGCUCCUCAUUGCAAACAGAUCUGUUUAGCAAAAGUGACAGUGCCUAAAAUUCUAAUGCCAGCCUUCUUAAAAACGGAAUUGAAUUUCUGUCAAGUACUGUCACACUUGCUAAACAGCUGUGUGUAUGAGGGUGACCUUGAAUAUCCAGAUUUGAGUCUCUGCUUUCAUAGGAUCUCCCAUGACCAGUUCAUCAGUGACAGUCCAGAUCCCAUACUGUGCACAACUGCAGGAGCACAAACAGAAGAACCAGCUGUGGAGAGUGCUGGAGUGUACAGAGCUCUGGACCCCGACCUGCCUGGGGGCUGGGUAAAAAUGGGCAAGCAGCAUGACUGUGUCUGCUUUGACCUUGCCAGGCUGGUGUAAUUACUCCUGGGAGCUGUUAACCAGACAGUUUAAGCUCCACUUUAAACGGAAUCAUCUUCUGUAACCAAGUGGAAUAAAAUCAUGGACACACACCUCUUGCAGGCACCUCCUCUAAGUCACAACCUUUUGUUGUCCUCCACUUUUGUAUCCUCAGUGUACAAGUACAGACACUGAGUUUCAGAAAAUUGUGUUGGAUGAGGAGGGGAGGGGGCUACCACUUGAACAUUCACCAUUCAUGAGCCUGUCUUUUGUGUUCUUCAUCUUUUUCUUCAGCCUAUCAUGAGACACAGUAGACAUGAGAUGCUCCUCUGAAGAGCCAGAUAGCAUCUGAUCCUUAAAACACUGGGCAUGGUCAGGACUCCUCUCCUCCUUUGAUUUGCUACCCAUAUAAACACUGGCAAAAAGAAAGGCUCCUUAACAUCCUGCUGUGAAAUAAAAGGCCAUUGGAAGUCCUUCUGAGGCCAGAAGAAACAAUCAGAGUCCUAAAGAAAAUAGGAAUGAGGAGUACAGCUUAGCACUGAGCUAAGAAACACAGAGGUAUGAGCUGGGAGUGCUGGCUGCACCUAUGGGGGGAUGAAGGGAAACACCAUGGGUACUAGGUAUUGUGAGGCAGCUGGAAGGAAGAUGUUGAAAUUCUUGUUCUAGCAGAAUCACCAGCCCAACUCUGUCAGUGUUUGGUGUUGACUGAAGAUACCAGCCCCAGCUAUUUGGUGGUUUGGAGUGACAGGGUGUCACUUUUUUCAGACCUAGCCUUUAGUCUCAUGUUUACAGAGAGACUUGAGAAGAUCAAGAAAGUAACCAGGAUAAUCAUCCUUGGGUUUUGGGUUCCAGUCCUUCUCUCACAGAACCCCCUUCAGGAUUUUUUUCUAAUGGCUCAGUACUGGAAAUGACUAUCUGUACAAGGUCUCAAGCUGGGACCAUUCAUCCUCUUGGUGCAAUUAAGCCUUGGGUGCCUGAAGACUCACUUCCUAAAUGAUAGUUUGUAACAAAAUGGACCAAAUCAGUGGCCAUCUGUUCUCUUCUUGGAUGUCUGCAGCCCAGAUGCUUGUUCAUGGAUGUGGUCAUUCUGCAAGUACUUCGAAUAGCUUCAGUCCCGAGCUUGUGCUUAAGUAACAGCAAACCUAACUUGAAAAGGGACCUACAAACAGCCUUUCUCUGGGAGCUUUGGAAGCGCCUCAUUUGCACUUAACUAUCUGUUCAGGGAAACUAAACAGUGUUCCAGAAAUGCUGUUACAGAAAUUGGUCAUAGAAGGUGGUAAGAUGAAAAGAUUAACAAUGGAGAAGUCCUAUAAAAUAGACUAGAAAUAGAAAUCAGCAUGAACAUGGAAUUCUCUUCAGAGUCUGAGCUACCUGAGUUAACACCACGUGGCCAGAAAUGCUGCAAAAGGAGCGCUGUGACUGCACAGCUGACCUGUCAUACUCGUGCUCACUGCAUGCCUGUAUUCUCUAAAUUGCUGGGGAGAACAUUGUCUCCUCAGGGUACGGGUUCUAAGACAACAUACAGGGAGGUGAAGGUAGGAAUGCCAGGGCAUGGAUGCUCAGCAAAUGAAGGCAUGGCUCACGGCUCUGCAAAGAGAGCCCCCACACAGUGUUUUUGCAGCAUGGUAACUCAGGGUGCAAGCAACACUUUUCCACAUAAACAGCACUCCCCUGUGAAGAAGCAGCAGCCGAGCAGUGACACGUCCAGCCUUCCGACACGCAAUGAAUUGCAAAAAUAAGAUUUUAUCCGUAGCAAAUACAUAAGCCUGGAGUCUUCAUUGGACAAGAGCUUCUGUGUUGUGAAUUCAAAUACGUGGUCUAAAUUUGGAUAAUACAGAGAUACAGGAAAAUAAAACGUUCACUAGCAUCAUCCUUAA